This 253-nucleotide ribosomal RNA is filed under the name uncultured bacterium. RNAcentral describes it as "partial 16S ribosomal RNA". It matches the Rfam family "Bacterial small subunit ribosomal RNA", at positions 524 to 776 of the family's 1533-position model. The record is from RNAcentral.
UACGGAGGGUGCAAGCGUUGUUCGGAAUUACUGGGCGUAAAGCGCGCGUAGGCGGUUUAGCAAGUUGAGAGUGAAAGCCCGAGGCUUAACUUCGGAAUUGCUUUCAAAACUACUAAGCUAGAGUAUGGUAGGGGAUAGUGGAAUUCCUAGUGUAGAGGUGAAAUUCGUAGAUAUUAGGAGGAACACCAGUGGCGAAAGCGACUGUCUGGGCCAUUACUGACGCUGAGGCGCGAAAGCGUGGGGAGCAAACAGG